GGUGAGGCCACCCGAUUGGCGACGGGCGCUGUCUUGAAAACAGUUUGACCGAAAGGUUUGCGGGUUCGACUCCCUCCCUCACCG
This 84-nucleotide transfer RNA is filed under the name Plantactinospora alkalitolerans. RNAcentral's name for it is "Plantactinospora sp. S1510 tRNA-Ser". It matches the Rfam family "tRNA". From Rfam's summary of the family: Transfer RNA (tRNA) molecules are approximately 80 nucleotides in length. The record is from RNAcentral. Lineage: Bacteria; Bacillati; Actinomycetota; Actinomycetes; Micromonosporales; Micromonosporaceae.